AUUGAACGCUGGCGGCAUGCCUUACACAUGCAAGUCGAACGGCAGCGGACCUUCGGGUGCCGGCGAGUGGCGAACGGGUGAGUAAUAUAUCGGAACGUACCUUUCAGUGGGGGAUAACGUAGCGAAAGUUACGCUAAUACCGCAUAUUCUGUGAGCAGGAAAGCAGGGGAUCGCAAGACCUUGCGCUGAUUGAGCGGCCGAUAUCAGAUUAGCUAGUUGGUGAGGUAAAGGCUCACCAAGGCGACGAUCUGUAGCGGGUCUGAGAGGAUGAUCCGCCACACUGGAACUGAGACACGGUCCAGACUCCUACGGGAGGCAGCAGUGGGGAAUUUUGGACAAUGGGCGCAAGCCUGAUCCAGCCAUGCCGCGUGAGUGAAGAAGGCCUCGGGUUGUAAGUACGUCUUUCUAGACGGAACGAAA
This 420-nucleotide ribosomal RNA is filed under the name uncultured bacterium. RNAcentral's name for it is "bacterial SSU rRNA". It matches the Rfam family "Bacterial small subunit ribosomal RNA", at positions 30 to 451 of the family's 1533-position model. The record is from RNAcentral.